CCCUUAGAUGUUCUGGGCCGCACGCGCGCUACACUGAUGCAUUCAACGAGUCUAAAACCUGCUCUGAUAGGGGUGGGUAAUCUUUUGAAUGUGCAUCGUGAUUGGGAUAGAUGUUUGCAAUUAUUCAUCUUCAACGAGGAUUGCCUUGUAAGCGCACGUCAUCAGCGUGCAUUGAAUACGACCCUGUAUUCUGUACACACCGCCCGUCGCUCCUACCGAUUGAAGUUUUCGGUGAGUUGACAGGAGGAUUUUUUUGAAACUGGUUCGCCAGUGGAUUUUAGAUCCAAAUGCCAACGAAUCGAUGGCUUUAGAGGAAGGAGAAGUCGUAACA
RNAcentral lists this ribosomal RNA (331 nucleotides) under uncultured eukaryote. RNAcentral's name for it is "partial 18S ribosomal RNA". It matches the Rfam family "Eukaryotic small subunit ribosomal RNA", at positions 1470 to 1796 of the family's 1831-position model. The record is from RNAcentral.